RNAcentral lists this transfer RNA (71 nucleotides) under Flavobacteriaceae bacterium. RNAcentral's name for it is "tRNA-Trp". It matches the Rfam family "tRNA". From Rfam's summary of the family: Transfer RNA (tRNA) molecules are approximately 80 nucleotides in length. Their secondary structure includes four short double-helical elements and three loops (D, anti-codon, and T loops). Lineage: Bacteria; Pseudomonadati; Bacteroidota; Flavobacteriia; Flavobacteriales; Flavobacteriaceae. RNAcentral also lists the same sequence under 1 other name. The record is from RNAcentral.
ACGGGCGUAGUUCAAUGGUAGAAUAGCGGUCUCCAACACCGUUGAUGGGAGUUCGAAUCUCUCCGCCCGUG